GGAAUAUCAACAAUUACAAGAGUAAAAUUUCUUCUUUUCUCUAGAUUAUGACAUUAUUGUUUAUCCAUUGUUGAAAUUGAUGCUUCUGCAACUGCUGUUUUCUGGUGGCAAUGUCUUUGUUGGAUCUCAAAUAUUUCAAUAACUUUGAUAGUGUACAAAACAUGAAACCGCUUAAUCAAAUUGAUAUUCAUUAACUAAAUAUUUCAUUUAAUCAUAAUACAAGUUUUAUUUUUAUAUAUA
Molecule: unclassified non-coding RNA, 240 nt
Filed under: Hevea brasiliensis (rubber tree)
Lineage: Eukaryota; Viridiplantae; Streptophyta; Magnoliopsida; Malpighiales; Euphorbiaceae
Source: RNAcentral